AACGAACGCUGGCGGCAUGCCUAACACAUGCAAGUCGAACGAGACCUUCGGGUCUAUUGGCGCACGGGUGCGUAACGCGUGGGAACCUGCCCUUAGGUUCGGAAUAACUCCCCGAAAGGGGUGCUAAUACCGGAUAAUGUCUUCGGACCAAAGAUUUAUCGCCUUUGGAUGGGCCCGCGUUGGAUUAGCUAGUUGGUAGGGUAAAAGCCUACCAAGGCGACGAUCCAUAGCUGGUCUGAGAGGAUGAUCAGCCACACUGGGACUGAGACACGGCCCAGACUCCUACGGGAGGCAGCAGUGGGGAAUAUUGGACAAGGGGCGAAAGCCUGAUCAAGCAAUGCCGCGUGAGUGAUGAAGGGCUUAGGGUUGUAAAGCUCUUUUACCCGGGAUGAUAAUGACAGUACCGGGAGAAUAAGCACCGGCUAACUCCGUG
RNAcentral lists this ribosomal RNA (433 nucleotides) under uncultured bacterium. Its description in RNAcentral is "partial 16S ribosomal RNA". It matches the Rfam family "Bacterial small subunit ribosomal RNA", at positions 29 to 507 of the family's 1533-position model. The record is from RNAcentral.